UACGUAGGGUGCGAGCGUUGUCCGGAAUUAUUGGGCGUAAAGAGCUCGUAGGCGGUGUGUCGCGUCGGCCGUGAAAACCUGCAGCUUAACUGUGGGCUUGCGGUCGAUACGGGCAUCACUGGAGUUCGGCAGGGGAGACUGGAAUUCCUGGUGUAGCGGUGAAAUGCGCAGAUAUCAGGAGGAACACCGGUGGCGAAGGCGGGUCUCUGGGCCGAUACUGACGCUGAGGAGCGAAAGCGUGGGAGCGAACAGG
RNAcentral lists this ribosomal RNA (253 nucleotides) under uncultured bacterium. RNAcentral's name for it is "partial 16S ribosomal RNA". It matches the Rfam family "Bacterial small subunit ribosomal RNA", at positions 524 to 776 of the family's 1533-position model. The record is from RNAcentral.